This 102-nucleotide ribosomal RNA is filed under the name uncultured bacterium. RNAcentral describes it as "partial 16S ribosomal RNA". The record is from RNAcentral.
CCUUCGGGUCGUAAAGCUCUGUGGGGAGGGACGAAACCGCUCACCGCUAAUACCGGUGGGUCUUGACGGUACCUCCUUAGCAAGCACCGGCUAACUCCGUGC